Long non-coding RNA from Oncorhynchus keta (chum salmon), 542 nucleotides. RefSeq lists it as uncharacterized. NCBI's taxonomy places the organism in Eukaryota, Metazoa, Chordata, Actinopteri, Salmoniformes, Salmonidae. The record is from RefSeq and is a predicted model, not a curated record. The transcript has 3 exons.
GGGGGUGCAGAGCUAGCCUCAUGGCAGGGGGUGCAGAGCUAGCCUCAUGGCAGGGGGUGCAGAGCUAGCCUCAUGGCAGGUGGUGCAGAGCUAGCCUCAUGGCAGGGGGUGCAGCGCUAGCCUCAUGGCAGGUGGUGCAGAGCUAGCCUCAUGGCAGGGGGUGCAGAGCUAGCCUCAUGGCAGGGGGUGCAGAGCUAGCCUCAUGGCAGGUGGUGCAGCGCUAUGGCAGGUGGUGCAGAGCUAGCCUCAUGGCAGGUUUUGCAGAGCUAGCCUAAUGGCAGGUGGUGUAGAGCAAGCCUCAUGGCAGGGGGUGCAGAGCAAGCCUCAUGGCAGGUGGUACAAAGCUAGCCUCAUGGCAGGUGGUGCAGAGCUAUCCUCAUGGCAGGUGGUGUAGAGCUAGCCUCAUGGCAGGUGGUGUAGAGCUAGCCUCAUGGCAGGUGGUGCAGAGCUAGCCUCAUGGCAGGUGGUGUAGAGCUAGCCUCAUGGCAGGGGGUGCAGAGCUAGCCUCAUGGCAGGUGGUGCAGAGCUAGCCUCAUGGCAGG